GGGCAGCACAGUGGCUUAGGUGAGCACUGUCGCCUCACGGCAAGAGGUUGUGGGAUCAUUUCCCGUCUGGCCCUUUCUGUGUGGAGUUUGCAUGUUCUCCCCAUGCUUACGUGGGUUCCCUCCGGGUGCUCCGGCUUUCUCCCACAUCCAAAGACAUGCAGAUUA
Molecule: long non-coding RNA, 165 nt
Organism: Thalassophryne amazonica
Lineage: Eukaryota; Metazoa; Chordata; Actinopteri; Batrachoidiformes; Batrachoididae
Exons: 3
Source: RefSeq, a predicted model, not a curated record